Molecule: ribosomal RNA, 305 nt
Filed under: uncultured bacterium
Lineage: Bacteria
Description: bacterial SSU rRNA
Rfam family: Bacterial small subunit ribosomal RNA
Source: RNAcentral
UAGGCCUAUGGGGGACAGCAGUGAGGAAUAUUGGUCAAUGGCCGCAGGGCUGAACCAGCCAAGUCGCGUGAGGGAUGACGGUCCUAUGGAUUGUAAACCUCUUUUGUCAGGGAGCAAAGGGCGCCACGUGUGGCGUUUUGCGAGUACCUGAAGAAAAAGCAUCGGCUAACUCCGUGCCAGCAGCCGCGGUAAUACGGAGGAUGCGAGCGUUAUCCGGAUUUAUUGGGUUUAAAGGGCGUGCAGCCGGAGAGACAAGUCAGAUGUGAAAUCCACGGGCUCAACCCGGGAACUGCAUUUGAAACUGG